CGGCGAGUGAAGCGGCAACAGCUCAAAUUUGAAAUCUGGCCCCCCGCGGGCCCGAGUUGUACUUUGGAGAGGACGCUUCUGGCGCGGCGCCGUCCGAGUUCCCUGGAACGGGACGCCGGAGAGGGUGAGAGCCCCGUACGGGCGGCCGCCUAGCCUCUGCGAAGCUCCUUCGACGAGUCGAGUAGUUUGGGAAUGCUGCUCAAAAUGGGAGGUAAAUUUCUUCUAAAGCUAAAUACCGGCCAGAGACCGAUAGCGCACAAGUAGAGUGAUCGAAAGAUGAAAAGCACUUUGAAAAGAGGGUCAAACAGUACGUGAAAUUGUUGAAAGGGAAGCGCCUGUGGCCAGACUUGCGCCCCGCGGACCACCCGGCGCCUCGCGCGCCGGGGCACGCCAGCGGGGCGCAGGCCAGCAUCGGCUCUCUCGGGGGGACAAAGGCCGCGGGAACGUAGCGCCCUCGCGGCGUAUUAUAGCCCGCGGCGCCAUGCCCCCGGGGGGGCCGAGGACCGCGCUCCGGCAAGGAUGCUGGCGUAAUGGCCACCGGCGACCCGUCUUGAAACACGGACCAAGGAGUCAAGCAUUGGGGCGAGUGUCUGGGUGGCAAGCCCGCACGCGGAAUGAAAGUGAACGCAGGUGGGAGCUUCGGCGCACCACCGACCGAUCCUGAUGUCCUCGGAUGGAUUUGAGUAGGAGCCCCGCCGCUUGGACCCGAAAGAUGGUGAACUAUGCCUGUAUAGGGUGAAGCCAGAGGAAACUCUGGUGGAGGCCCGCAGCGGUUCUGACGUGCAAAUCGAUCGUCAAAUAUGG
This 804-nucleotide ribosomal RNA is filed under the name Harringtonia lauricola. RNAcentral's name for it is "Raffaelea lauricola partial large subunit ribosomal RNA". It matches the Rfam family "Eukaryotic large subunit ribosomal RNA", at positions 87 to 914 of the family's 3401-position model. Lineage: Eukaryota; Fungi; Ascomycota; Sordariomycetes; Ophiostomatales; Ophiostomataceae. The record is from RNAcentral.